Molecule: long non-coding RNA, 387 nt
Organism: Peromyscus leucopus (white-footed mouse)
Lineage: Eukaryota; Metazoa; Chordata; Mammalia; Rodentia; Cricetidae
Exons: 2
Source: RefSeq, a predicted model, not a curated record
AGGAGUCACUGGUACUGCUGGUAAUGUGGGGGCAGCCCUGGCUCCCGUUUUAAUGACCCUCACGAUAUACUCUGCCUCUUUACCCUGGAUCAUCUAUGGAGUCAUCUCCAUCCUUGCUGGCUUUGUUCCUCUUCUCCUUCCUGAGACCAAGAAUAAGCCUCUGCCUGACUCCAUCCAAGAUGUGGAAAAUGAGUGGAAAGGUUCAAGGCAUACAAAUGAGGAAGGUGCCAUCAUCAAAGUGACACCGUUUUAAGGAACUCUGAGAAUUGCCUCUGGUUGAAUAGCAGGUUAAGGAAAAAAGUCACUCAGAAUGUGCUGUCCCAGGAAUAUUCCUAGCUAUUAGCAAAUUUUUCAAUAAAUGCUGAUGCAAAUAUGGAUUGUAUUUUA